GUGCUCACUUUGCAGCACACAAACCAAAAUUGUACCAAUGCAGAGGGUGAGCAUGGCCCCUGUGCAGGGAUUACACACAAAGCCUUGAAGCUUCCCACAUCGCA
Molecule: small nuclear RNA, 104 nt
Organism: Apodemus sylvaticus (European woodmouse)
Lineage: Eukaryota; Metazoa; Chordata; Mammalia; Rodentia; Muridae
Source: RefSeq, a predicted model, not a curated record